UAGGGAAUAUUGCAAAAUGGGCGAAAGCCCGAUGCAGCAACGCCGCAUGGGCGAUGAAGGCCUUCGGGUCGUAAAGCCCUUUUUGAGGGGAUGAGGAAGGACAGUACCCUCAGAAUAAGCCUCGGCUAACUACGUGCCAGCAGCCGCGGUAAAACGUAGGAGGCGAGCGUUAUCCGGAUUUACUGGGCGUAAAGCGCGUGCAGGCGGAUUGGAGAGUUGGAUGUGAAAGCUCCCGGCUUAACUGGGAGAGGUCGUUCAAUACUUCCAGUCUUGAGUGCAGUAGAGGGAAGUGGAAUUCCGGGUGUAGUGGUGAAAUGCGUAGAUAUCCGGAGGAACACCAGUGGCGAAAGCGGCUUCCUGGACUGUAACUGACGCUCAGACGCGAAAGCUAGGGUAGCAAACG
This 403-nucleotide ribosomal RNA is filed under the name uncultured bacterium. RNAcentral describes it as "bacterial SSU rRNA". It matches the Rfam family "Bacterial small subunit ribosomal RNA", at positions 355 to 774 of the family's 1533-position model. The record is from RNAcentral.